RNAcentral lists this ribosomal RNA (271 nucleotides) under uncultured bacterium. RNAcentral describes it as "partial 16S ribosomal RNA". The record is from RNAcentral.
CUGCUGCCUCCCGUAGGAGUCUGGUCCGUGUCUCAGUACCAGUGUGGGGGACCUUCCUCUCAGAACCCCUACGCAUCGUCGCCUUGGUGGGCCGUUACCCCGCCAACUAGCUAAUGCGCCGCAUGCCCAUCCUCCGCCGGAAUCGCUUCCUUUUAACACCCGUGGGAUGCCCCACAGAUGUACCACGCGGUAUUAGUCCGGAUUUCUCCGGGUUACUCCCCCUGCGGAGGGCAGGUUGCAUACGUGUUACUCACCGUGCGCCGGUCGCCGG